Uranotaenia lowii is the source of this 596-nucleotide long non-coding RNA. RefSeq lists it as uncharacterized. The transcript has 4 exons. Lineage: Eukaryota; Metazoa; Arthropoda; Insecta; Diptera; Culicidae. The record is from RefSeq and is a predicted model, not a curated record.
GGAGCUCUUAUGUCAAAACGCAUAUAGUUUUCUCAAAACAAAACAUAAUAUUCAAAAUUUCAGCAUUAAAUAUAAUAAUUAUUAGGAUUUGACGACACAAUAAGAUUACGGAAACUAACCACAGCUUCGGAGGUCUUCCUGUUGUAACUUUGUUUCCAAUGUAAAUAGGAUUUCGGAAGGAAGUUUUUAAAAGAAGCAACUGAAACGAAAUAGAGAAGUUCGAAACAUCUCAGAGAAGCAGAUUUCGUCACUGAUUUCCACCGAGUUUAUUAGAAAACGAUUCUCAUGGGAAAAGAUUCGCUGCCAAACACAUUCGAAUUGCAACUUAUUUUGCUUUCGUCAAUUCAAACGGCUACUGGUGAAAUGGAAAAUGAUAAAAAUUUCAAACGAAAAAAGAACUGGAUACCAACUACCUAACGAUUCAUUCGAAACAUUGUUCAGCGUAUAAUUCCUACAAAGCGUCGACUUCGUCAAAAAGCUCAUCAAACUCCCAAGAGAAAAAAAAUAGCGAAGGAGGAACAGGAAAUUUGAAAAUUUAAACCAGUAGUUUUAAUAAAUUUCAAAAUUUAUUCAAAUCAUUUAUGCUCAUAUCGAAG